UACAGAGGGUGCGAGCGUUAAUCGGAAUUACUGGGCGUAAAGCGCACGUAGGCGGCUUUGCAAGUUAGAGGUGAAAGCCCGGGGCUCAACUCCGGAAUUGCCUUUAAAACUGCAUCGCUAGAAUUGUGGAGAGGUAAGUGGAAUUCCGAGUGUAGAGGUGAAAUUCGUAGAUAUUCGGAUGAACACCAGUGGCGAAGGCGACUUACUGGACACAUAUUGACGCUGAGGUGCGAAAGCGUGGGGAGCAAACAGG
RNAcentral lists this ribosomal RNA (253 nucleotides) under uncultured bacterium. Its description in RNAcentral is "partial 16S ribosomal RNA". It matches the Rfam family "Bacterial small subunit ribosomal RNA", at positions 524 to 776 of the family's 1533-position model. The record is from RNAcentral.